CAAUACGUCAGCGGCAGACGGGUGAGUAACGCGUAGGAACAUACCUUUUGGUUCGGAACAACACAGGGAAACUUGUGCUAAUACCGAAUAAGCCCUUACGGGGAAAGAUUUAUCGCCGAAAGAUUGGCCCGCGUCUGAUUAGCUUGUUGGUGAGGUAACGGCUCACCAAGGCGACGAUCAGUAGCUGGUCUGGGAGGAUGAUCAGCCACAUUGGGACUGAGACACGGCCCAA
This 232-nucleotide ribosomal RNA is filed under the name uncultured bacterium. Its description in RNAcentral is "partial 16S ribosomal RNA". It matches the Rfam family "Bacterial small subunit ribosomal RNA", at positions 85 to 334 of the family's 1533-position model. The record is from RNAcentral.